AUAUAUAUACAAAUAAAAAAACUCUCAGCUCAGUCGUUCCCCUCCAGCAUCUUUAUCCGUCCGCACACACCACUUCUUCCAUUAUCCGGCUGAUUAAGAUCUCGCUGCUUGCCAUCACCAAAUUGAUUCCCAAACCAUCACGGCUGAUUCAUUCCUUCCCAUUUCUCUUCGUGUAGGUACUGGCGCAGUUUGCCGUUAAGCAGAGUGCGCGGACGCGUCUAUCGCAUUCUUAAGGAUGUGGAUUCUCGACGACCUCGUGGAGUCCGGCGGAGCGUUCUCAAGGGUUUCGGCCAAGAUGAUGACCUCUUCUUGGCGUACGGCUAGAGGUCCAUGGCAGAGGUGUUGUAGUUUGGUCCAGUGGAGGAGGCUGCGAGGGAAAUCACCGAGUCACGUACUAAGUGAGUUAUUAGAUCUGACAUCUAAAGAAUACAAGUAGCAGCCGACGACCAUAAGAUGCUGGCCUUCUCAUUGUUCUUGCUGUCAGGCUACCACUAACUGUUUGUUGAGCAGCUCACUUGUGCUAGCAAGACGCCAUUGAUUUGCUUAUAUCAAAUCCUGCUAUUAAGUUACAGAUGAAGCACGUAUGUUCUUGUCUAUUAUGCUGGCCACGUAAAGAUUUGCCUAAAAUAGCAUGUGCAUAAAGGAAACUACAUGAAGAAAGUUAUGGAUCUGUUAUAGACUAAGAACAUUGGUCUUAUCUCGUAUCACAAAGAUUGAUAGUAUCAUUUAUUGGAAUUCUGAUGCAUUACCUGGUCUGACUGGUUUCCGUGCCUCAUUGUAGUCAGAAGUGCUUUGGUGUCAAUUCUUCCGAUGUCGCUUCAUCGGGCAUUGAGCGUGUUUACGCGUGACUUUGUGGGGCGUCGAGUGAAGCGGCUAGACGUGGCUUUUUGUCUAGCCGUUGAGUUGCGUGUGGCAUGUUUAAGUCGCCGUGGUCGUUGGCUUGUAAUUGUUUGGUGGUUGGCGUGUGUACUUAUUUAUAUAUGGGUUUAGGUGUCUUGGUUCGUGGUGGCCGGGCCGGUUGGAAAUCAGAUGCCCACACCGUGUGCUAAUCAAACUUGUUUUGUUUGUUUGUAUUCGUUCCUGGAACUUUCCUCACGUGAGGUAGUUGUCCUUAUACGGUUAAUAUUAGGUUCCUUAAUUUUUUAGGAUUUACUAA
Non-coding RNA from Triticum urartu, 1156 nucleotides. The record is from RefSeq and is a predicted model, not a curated record. NCBI's taxonomy places the organism in Eukaryota, Viridiplantae, Streptophyta, Magnoliopsida, Poales, Poaceae.